This 456-nucleotide ribosomal RNA is filed under the name uncultured bacterium. RNAcentral describes it as "bacterial SSU rRNA". It matches the Rfam family "Bacterial small subunit ribosomal RNA", at positions 340 to 786 of the family's 1533-position model. The record is from RNAcentral.
UACGGGAGGCAGCAGUGGGGAAUAUUGCACAAUGGGCGCAAGCCUGAUGCAGCCAUGCCGCGUGUAUGAAGAAGGCCUUCGGGUUGUAAAGUACUUUCAGUCGCGAGGAAGGUGUUAAGGUUAAUAACCUUAGCAAUUGACGUUAGCGACAGAAGAAGCACCGGCUAACUCCGUGCCAGCAGCCGCGGUAAUACGGAGGGUGCGAGCGUUAAUCGGAAUUACUGGGCGUAAAGGGCACGCAGGCGGUUAAUUAAGUUGGAUGUGAAAUCCCCGGGCUUAACCUGGGAAUGGCAUUCAAGACUGGUUAGCUAGAGUCUUGUAGAGGGGGUAGAAUUCCAUGUGUAGCGGUGAAAUGCGUAGAGAUGUGGAGGAAUACCGGUGGCGAAGGCGGCCCCUGGGACAAAGGACUGACGCUCAUGUGCGAAAGCGUGGGGAGCAAACGAGGGAUUAGAUACC